GUCUUCCCUGGCUCUGCCCCCACAGCUUUCUCCAAACAUCCCUGGCCCUCAGGACCUGGACGCCUGUGCUAGCGGCUUUGAUGGCAGAACUGAACAGGUACUCACCAGGCAGCCAUUGAGAUUACUCAUAAUAGCCAGAACCUGGAAACAAUCUAGAUGCCCCUCAACUGAAGAGUGGAUAAAGAAAAUGUGGUGCAUAUACACAAUGGAGUAUUACUCAGCUGUAAAAAACAAUGACCUCGUGAAAUUUGCAGGCAAAUGGAUGGAACUAGAAAAUAUCAUCCUGAGUGAGAUAACCCAGACUCAGAAAUACAAAUGUGGAUACUAGAUGUAAAGCAAAGGAUAAGCAGAUGACAACUCACAGCUCCAGGGAAGCUAGGAAACAAGGAGGACCCUAAGAGAUGGAUCACCUUGGGAAGGGGAAACAGAUGAGAUCUCCAUGAGUAAACUGGGUAUGGGGGCAGGGCAUUAGAGGGGAGAGGAUGGGGAAAGAGAACAUGAGGGAAUGGGAUGGUUGAGCUGAAAGAGGGGCGAAGUGGGAGAGCAAUGAAAGAGAUAUCUUGAUAGAGGGGGACAUUAUGGGGUAAGGGAGAAACCUGGUGCUAGGGAAGUUCCCAAGAAUCCACAAGGAUGACUCCAGAUAAGAUUACUAGCAAUAGUGGAGAGGGUGCCUGAACUGGCCUACCCUGGUAAUCAGAUUGGUGAAUAUCCUGUCAUCAUAGAGCCUUCAUCUAGUAACAGACUGAAACAGAUGCAGAGAUCCACAGCCAAGCACCAGGCCAAGCUCCAGGAGUCUGGUCGAAGAGAGGGAAGAGGGAUUAUAUGAGAAAGGGGGGUCAAGAUCAUGAUGGGGAAAUCUACAGAGACAACUGAACCAAGCUCAUAGGAACUCAUGAACUUUAGACCGACAGCUGUGGAACCUGACUAGACCCUCUGCAUACGGGAGAAAGUUGUGUAGCUUGGUCUGUUUGAGGGGUCCCUGGCAAUGGGAUCAGGAUCUAUCUCUGGUGCAUGAGCUGGCUUUCUGGAGCCUAUUACCUAUGGUGGGACACCUUGCUCAGUCUUGAUGCAGAGGGAAGGGGCUUGGUCCUGCCUCAAAUGAACAUAUCAGGCUUUGCUGACUCCCCAUGGUAGGCCUUACCCUUUUGCAAAGGGGAUGGGAGAUGGGCUGAGGAGAGGGGAGGUUGAAAGUGGGGAGCGGGAGGAGGGAUGAGAGAGGGAUCCGUGGUUGGUAUGUAAAAAUAAAAAAUUUUUAAAAAGAGAUGAUAGAUGUUUGAGGAGACAGAUGUUUGCCCUGAUUUAGAUGUUACACAUGUGUACAUUAACAAAACAUCACAGGUACCCCAUAACUAUGUGUAAUUUUAAUAUACCCGUUAAAAUAAAUUCAUUAUUAUUA
Peromyscus californicus insignis is the source of this 1396-nucleotide long non-coding RNA. RefSeq lists it as uncharacterized. NCBI's taxonomy places the organism in Eukaryota, Metazoa, Chordata, Mammalia, Rodentia, Cricetidae. The record is from RefSeq and is a predicted model, not a curated record. The transcript has 2 exons.